This is a long non-coding RNA of Oncorhynchus nerka (sockeye salmon), 1271 nucleotides long. RefSeq lists it as uncharacterized. NCBI's taxonomy places the organism in Eukaryota, Metazoa, Chordata, Actinopteri, Salmoniformes, Salmonidae. The record is from RefSeq and is a predicted model, not a curated record. The transcript has 2 exons.
GAGCAACACCGGCUCAGCCCUUUCCUGUUUCAGCAUGACAAUGCUCCCGUGCACAAAAUGAAGUCCAUACAGAAAUGGUUUGUCGAGAUCAGUGUGGAAGAACUUGACUGGCCUGCGCAAAGCCCUGACUUCAACCCCAACGAACAUUUUGGAAUGAAUUGGAACACAGACUACGAACCAGGCCUAAUCUCCCAACCUCACUAAUGCUCGUAGUUAAAUGGAAGCAAGUCCCGGCAGCAAUUGGGGGGGGUAAUUCCUGCAGCUAGCUGACUUUUUAUGUAAACAAUGUGGGUGUCAAACAUUGGAAUCGUAUGCUAGCUACAUUUAGUUUAGUUAUAUUAUUGGCUGUCAUGUUAGAAAUUACUCUGUUGGCUAACAAGAUCAGUGCAGUUGAAGAAAAGGAGUCAAGGAGAGGAGCCAAGAAGAGGAAGACACUUAAGUCUAUAGAGGCUUCUUAGGACAACCACUGGACUUGGACAUAACAGACCAUGUUGAUUCUUAUCCAUAUAACUUAAUCUAUGGCUGUCCUUACAAACCUAGAAGAGUAUGACGCACUAAAUGUGAUGGUAGAAUACAAAGUGCUGCCAAAGACAAUUAAAUUGAUACAGCUGGGAUGAUCAAUAAAUCCAAAAUAUCCUGUGAGCAACCAGUUGGUCAAAAGUCAAAAUAUCCAUGACACACAAUCAGAUUUAGGUUGUUAUAGGAGUUUUUCAAUCUUUAUUUAUACGUUUUCACCUUCAUCAUGUUUUGUGGGUUAACCCUAUAGCUGAUCAAAGGUUGUGCAAUAGAUGUAGGUCAACAUAUAAGCAUCUACUACUGUAGGAGUUCUACAUCUCUGGUUUGUCAGCUACUGUCUAGUUCUAGACCUAGGCUCUGUCCCAAAUGGACCAUAUCCCCUAUGAAGUGCACUACUUUUGACCUGGGCCCAUAGUGCACAUGGGCCUCGGUAAAAUGUAGUGCACUAUAUAGGUAAUAGGGUGAAAUUUGGGAUGAAUCCCUAGUCUGUCCAUCUACAAGUACUUAACUAGAUUUGCCUGAUUGAGCAUAGGACUGCCUGAUGUGGAGCUGCUGCCAGGAAGCCUGGAUGCCAUUGUGAUGCUGCAACACAAUGUCAACAUUCUAACCCUAGCCCAGACGAAAUGCACUUAUCCUGUCUAAUCGUCUGCCUCUCAUAACAUUUAGAAAGUACUGUAUGUUGUGGACGUAUGCCUAACUUGUCGAAUGUAAAAAAUACAUUUAAAAAAGUGCCCGUAAAGGAAUGUUCUUAAUGA